CAGUUGGAAACGACUGCUAAUACCGCAUAAGCCCAGACCCGGCAUCGGGUANAGGGAAAAGGAGCAAUCCGCUUUGAGAUGGCCUCGCGUCCGAUUAGCUAGUUGGUGAGGUAACGGCCCACCAAGGCGACGAUCGGUAGCCGGACUGAGAGGUUGAACGGCCACAUUGAGACUGAGACACGGCCCAGACUCCUACGGGAGGCAGCAGUGGGGAAUAUUGCACAAUGGGGGAAACCCUGAUGCAGCGACGCCGCGUGGAGGAAGAAGGUCUUCGGAUUGUAAACUCCUGUUGUUGAGGAAAAUAAUGACGGUACUCAACAAGGAAGUGACGGCUAACUACGUG
This 343-nucleotide ribosomal RNA is filed under the name uncultured bacterium. Its description in RNAcentral is "bacterial SSU rRNA". It matches the Rfam family "Bacterial small subunit ribosomal RNA", at positions 147 to 507 of the family's 1533-position model. The record is from RNAcentral.